CAGCAGUCGAGAAUCAUUCACAAUGGGCGAAAGCCUGAUGGUGCGACGCCGCGUGGAGGAUGACAGCCCUAGGGUUGUAAACUCCUGUCAUGAGAAAGCAAAGACUUAACGUUAAUACCGUUGGGUCCUGAUAGUAUCUCAAGAGGAAGGGACGGCUAACUUCGUGCCAGCAGCCGCGGUAAUACGAAGGUCCCAAGCGUUGUUCGGAAUUACUGGGCGUAAAGCGUGCGUAGGUGGCAUGGUAAGUCAGAUGUGAAAUCCCGGGGCUCAACCUCGGAACUGCAUCCGAUACUGCCAAGCUAGAGUAGUGGAGGGGAGUCUGGAAUUCACGGUGUAGCAGUGAAAUGCGUAGAUAUCGUGAGGAACACUAGUGGCGAAGGCGAGACUCUGGACACUAACUGACACUGAGGCACGAAGGCUAGGGUAGCGAAAGGGAUUAGAUACCCCUGUAGUCCUAGCAGUAAACGGUGCGCGUUUGGUGUGGGCGGGUUCGACCCCGUCCGUGCCGAAGCUAACGCGUUAAACGCGCCGCCUGGGGAGUACGGCCGCAAGGCUAAAACUCAAAGAAAUUGACGGGGACCCGCACAAGCGGUGGAGUAUGUGGCUUAAUUCGAUGCAACGCGAAGAACCUUACCUAGGCUUGACAUGCUUGUCGUAGUUCUGUGAAAGCAGAUCGUCAGUUCGGCUGGACUUGCACAGGUGCUGCAUGGCUGUCGUCAGCUCGUGUCGUGAGAUGUUGGGUUAAGUCCCGCAACGAGCGCAACCCCUAUGAUUAGUUGCCAGCGAGUAAUGUCGGGGACUCUAGUCAGACUGCCUGUAUUAAACAGGAGGAAGGUGGGGACGACGUCAAGUCAGUAUGGCCCUUACGCCUAGGGCUGCACACGUACUACAAUGCCCAGUACAAUGUGAACCGAUACCGUAAGGUGGAGGAAAUCCUUAAAACUGGGCUCAGUUCGGAUUGUGGGCUGCAACUCGCCCACAUGAAGCUGGAAUCGCUAGUAAUGGCACAUCAGCUACGGUGCCGUGAAUACGUUCCCGGGUCUUGUACACA
Molecule: ribosomal RNA, 1051 nt
Filed under: marine metagenome
Description: bacterial SSU rRNA
Rfam family: Bacterial small subunit ribosomal RNA
Source: RNAcentral